This is a long non-coding RNA of Ictalurus punctatus (channel catfish), 5800 nucleotides long. RefSeq lists it as uncharacterized. NCBI's taxonomy places the organism in Eukaryota, Metazoa, Chordata, Actinopteri, Siluriformes, Ictaluridae. The transcript has 11 exons. The record is from RefSeq and is a predicted model, not a curated record.
GUCACCACGAGCGCGAGAAGUCGAAGGUAGGAGCAGAAAGCGGUGUUAGUGUUAGUUCUGGCCCGUUUGGACCCAAACUAAAGUGUAUCAGUAUGAAGCAGGCGGUGACGGCGCACUGAUUCACUCUCGGAGCUCGGUUCACUAAUGACCGAAUCACCGAGGAACCGACCAAAGAUAACUCACACCCGCACGAAGAAGAACAAGAGGAGGAGAAGAUGAGCUGGAGUGGGGCAAAGAGAACUGCAUUCAGAUCAAACGGAUACAAGAGAGGUGGCCGAGUUGUUUGAGGAUCUAAAGAAUUGAGUGUCACAAUUCAACAUGCACAUCAGCGAAACUUUUCCCUCUGACUACACCAGCACGCACGCACAGAAAUUCAUAGUGCAGGUGGUGAUUGCAGGCGCAUUUUAUCCGAACUGCUUCCUCCAGGGAGCUGUGGACGAGGAGCUCGCCUCCAAGGAACUCUAUGGAAACGACCCCAGGACCACCAUAGUGGUGUGUAAUCUCCCUCCAUUUGCAUUCCUCUACUAUAAACAGCUCCAGUCUCUCUUCAGACACUGUGGUUAAAUCAAAUCCAUCUCCUUUGACAGCUCCAGGGCCUAUGUAGAGUUCUACCGCUCGUCAAUGAGAGGUUCUGGCGUUCUCCCAGAGGUCUCUCUGUCUCUCCUCCUCACGCAGCAGAGACUUCCUCUCCAUGUCAACGUUUAACCUGCUGGAGAGGUGGAGACUUGGGCAGGGGGGUAGUGUAUCUCACACCUCAGAUAUACACGGGUGAAUGUGGAUUUUCAGAAUCAGUCAGUGAGCCCUGUCAGGGGUUCUGAGCAGCUCCAUUGAGUUGGAGAAUCUUCCGUCUAACCCUGUCUUUAUCGUCAAUAUCACUGAGGUGUCUGUUCCGCCUCUUUCACUUUCAGUGCACAAAUAAAAAAGAAGCAGUGGCUCCUGUGUGUGUGUGUGUGUGUGUGUGUGUGUGUGUGUGUGUGUGUGUGUGUGUGUGUGUGCGUGUGUGUGUGUGUGUGCACUAACAGGAGGUCCAGGUGCAGCCUUUGGAUAUUGAUGAAGAUUUACUGCCCCUGCAAGACCUUCCUCAACUGCGUAGUCUGGAGCAAAGGAUGCAACAGAGCCCAGAUUACAAGCAAAAUCUGGUAAACUGGUUGGCGCUUAUUGACGGGGUGUAUGUGCGUGACUGCACCUGGCGCAUAUUGAAGAGGGUGAUUGCUAACUCCCUGGAAAAGAAUGUCAAUUGGAGGGGAGUCAAUGGAAAGACUUCACUGUCCGCUCUCCAACUCGGAGAGGUCGUGAUUGGAGACGCACCUACGUCUUAAAGUAUUAAAGAUCAUCAAAGGUUACUCUGCCCUUGGGUGAGUCAAGUCUUCCACUCGAACUUUAAUUCGAAAGCAAGAGGGGUCGCUAUUUUAAUUGACAAAAGGUCACAGUUUUCCUCCACUAACGUUGUUGCUGAUGUGAACGGUAGAUAUAUUAUAGUUGCUGGUACUCUGAUGCAAAGACAGGUGUUGUUGGUAAAUGUACACGCUCCAAACUUUGAUGAUGUGGAAUUUGCUAAUAGAUUGUUGAGCAAUCUCCCUUUUUAAAUACUCACCUGUAGAUUUUCGGGGGAGAUUUAAACUGUGUAAUUCACCAAAACUUGGAUCGGUCUAAUCCCCGUACUCUGAAUCAAUCUGCUAUGUCUAAAACAUUUUCCGAUUUUAUGGGUCAGAACGGUCUCGUUGAUCCCUGGAGAUCCCGUAACUCUGCUCUUAAAAAGUUUUCUUUCUUCUCCCAGGUGCUAUCCUAUUGAAAUCCUAUUCGAGGAUUGAUUAUUUUUUAUAGACAGCACUCUUGAUUCUUGUGUAGUUUCUUCUGACUAUUUGGGUAUUGUAAUUUCUGACCAUGCGAUCAUGAAUUAGAUAUUCAUCUUUCUAUUUAUAAACGUAGCCCACCGCCUUGGAGAUUUAAUUCUCUUCUUUUAGCAGACAGUGAAUUCUGUGAGUUCAUUUCUACUUCUAUGGAUGACUUUCUUUUCUUCAGUCAGAAUGACUCCACCUCUUAUUCAUUGUUAUGGGAGACUCUUAAAUCCUAUAUCAGAGGGCAGAUUAUUUCUUACUCCACUCUCUGUAAUUAAAAGCGCACUGCUAGGGUUAAUGAACUUACAUCUGCGAUCAGUAGUCUCGAUCAAAGAUGUACGUUGAACCCCUCUCCAGAACUUCUUAAACAGCGAAUCGACUUACAGGCAGAAUUCAAUCUUAUUUCGACUAAAGAGGCGGAACGCUUGUUGUUACGUACUCGUGGUUCAUAUUAUGAACAUGGCGACGAGCCGAGUCGUUUACUGGCACGUCAGCUACGGCGACAGGCCGCUUCCCGUCUCAUACCUAGUGUUAAAAACACUCAUAAUAUCGUCACAACAGAGCCCAUGGAAAUUAAUGCUACUUUUAAAUGGUUUUACUCUUCACCUUAUAAAUCUGAAUUUCCUGCAGACGAUACUAAAGUGAAUGCAUUUCUUCAAGACCUUUGUAACCCUGUUAGUGAUUCGAAUACUGCCAUGCAACUGGACUCCCCACUCUCUUCAAGAAAUUUGAAUUCAGUUAAAACUAUGCAGUGUAACAAAGCUCCUGGCCCGGACGGGUUUCCAGUUGAAUUUUUUAAAAUGUUUAUUGGAAAAUUAGCUCCAUUGCUUUUAUCUGUGUUCAACGAAUCCUUGGAAUGUGUCUUUGCCUCUGACUCUGACACAAGCCACGAUAGCUCUGCUUCUUAAGGAGGGUAAGGAUCCAAGCUCCUGUGGUUCUUAUAGGCCGCUGUCUCUGCUUAAUGCAGAUGUAAAGGUGUUGGUGAAAGUAAUGGCAUCUCGUUUAGAGGACAUUAUCCCUUAUAUUAUAUGUGAAGAGCAGAAGGGUUUUAUAAAGGGACGUCAGAUGUUUUUCAAUACCCGUACGCUCUUUAAUAUAAUUUAUUCAAAGCAUUCGGCAGUGCUUCCUGAGAUUGUGAUUUCAUUAGAUGCUGAAAAAGCAUUUGAUAGGGUUGAGUGGGAGUAUUUGUUUGCAGUCUGAGGAAGUUCUGAUUUGGGGAUAAGUUUAUUUCUUGGAUUCGCCUCCUUUACUCAAGCCAGGGUUCAGACAAACGAUACUUAUUCUGAUUAUUUUACUCGGACGAGGGUCUCGUCAAGGUUGUCCUUUAUCGACUCUGCUUUUUGCUGUCGCUAUCGAACCUCUGUCUAUCGCAUUAAGAUCUUCUCCCUUGUUUAAAGGAAUAGUUCGAUACGGUGUAGAAUACAAAUUGUCGCUAUAUGCUGAUGAUUUGUUAUUGUAUGUAACCGAUCCUGUUGCCUCUAUGCCUGCUGUCUUGGCUGUUCUGGAGUCCUUCGGUGUUGUCUCUGGUUAUAAAUUAAACUUGGAUAAAAGCGACUGUUUUCCUGUCAAUACUGCAGCAUUUUCUCUCCAACAGUCAGAUUUACCGUUUCGAUUUAGUCAGUCAGGGUUUAGGACUUGCAUUACCCAAUUUUCAAUUCUAUUACUGGGCUGCGCACAUCCAUAAACUCUGCUACUGGGUUAAAUCUCCUGGAUCUUCUUGGUCUAAAUUGGAACUAUUGUCGUGUAGGGAAUCCUCUUCACCUGCUUUACUUUACUCCUCUUUACCUACAAAACUCUCCCUAUAUACUGAUAAUCUAGUUGUCCUCAACACUUAUGACUUGGUAUCAGUUUAGACGGCGCUUUAAAUUUGUAGGUGCAUCCUCUUUGUGUCCUUUAGUCAACAACCAUCUAUUUCCUCCAUCGUGUUUGGACUCCACAUUCUCAGUGUGGGAUGACAAGGGUAUUAAACAAGAUAGAAAUUUGUAUUCCGAUGGUGUGUUUGAUAGCUUUGCCAAUCUGGCAUCCACUUAUGACCUCCCUGUGACGCAUUUUUUUUCGGUAUUUUCAAAUUCGGAAUUUCGUUUCUAGAUGUUUUCCUGAUUUCCCCUCUGUGCCUCCUGAACAGGCUUGGGAAAGCUUGUUUUCAAACAAUCCACAUCAGAGAGGAAUGAUGGAGCAGAAGGGCUUGCAUGUGCCUUUACUAAAUUCAAUAACUUGACUUUUGAUAGGUCACUUAUGCACAUACUUGCUCACUAAAAUGGCGGGUGCUUGUGUCUUCUUGUUCAGCUUCUUCUUUGUCGGUUGACAGUGUUGUACUUGAGCGCCAUCAAGUGGUACUUUUAUGUAGCUUCACCGGCUCCGGGCACGUAAACAAAAGUGUGAAUCUCAUUGGGCGGCCGGUUUCUGCUGCUUUUCCGCCACAUGUUUUAUGCCCGAGUGUGAAAACUCAUUGACAGCGACAGGGGGCGUUCAACAGACCGUUUUGAACCGUCCCCGUGUGAACAGGGCUUUAGGUGUUCAUUGUGUGCAUUGUAGUGUGUUGUUCCUGCCGUGGAAAUUAGACAACACUCUCAGACUCGUCCUCUGAAGGUAAAAAGGUUUAUUACAGAAAGAUGGUUAAUACAGGAUAGAAUAAAGCAGGACAGAAUAAUGAGAGCGCUCUGAAGCCCUUGUACUAAACCACUACUAUAGAUAUGAAACUCGGAGCAUGACAUCAUUCUGUGUACCGAUAAGAAGCAGUUUGAGGCAGUUCAAACAGGCUUUGUUUUAGGAUCUUAGAUGAUGUUUAGACGAGCCUAGAACAGAAGAACAUGUUUGUGUCUCUGUAAGCAGAUAAACAUUCUGUACUGAUCUCAGUGACAUCACAUGGCCUUCUGAGUGGUUAUCCUCACAUGAGAAUGAAACAGAACAAGAACAAAACUAUUUCAAAGUAAAAAUGAAUAAUUUCCCUCACAGUGUAAUGAACAGAAUCUGUUGUUUGUUAAUAACUGGAAUCUGUUCUGGGAGCGUCCUAGGUUGUUUCGUCCUGAUGGCCUGCACCCCAGCAGCCUCGGAGCGGAACUGCUGUCUGACAACAUCUCCAAGACGCUACACUCCAAGUGACUGUCUACCUUGUUGGCAGCUCAGCGGGCGAGACGUGUGGCUCUGAUCGCUCGGAUCAAUAGUCUAAGGCUGGAAGUUCAGUGCAUAGGGUAAGUCAACACCUGUUUCAGUGUUUAUUUACAGUCACAGUGUUUAACUCACACUUCACGUGCAGAAGAAGGAGGACAGGGUGAAGGAAAUGCGCCAUACCGUGGCGUAGGGCACGGCCAACAGGCUGCAGCUCCAGACCCGGCGGUAGGGAUGCACAAUUCAGCUAAUUAAAACUUGUCUAUUUUUUUUUUUAAACUACGUUCAACCACUCUGCUAAUGAUUCAUCGGUGACUCGAUCACUUGAGUUUUAUUUUACUGUGUUUAUAUUGUUUGGGGAGAGUGUGUGUUCUGUCCAUGGAUAACGGUUUAGAUGUACAACGAAGUGCGUGAGUUUAAAAGACCUGUGCUCCUGUAGGUGUUGAGAGCUCAGUGAAAAAAAGCAUGAUGUUUGAAUGUGUACAUAUGAGUAGAAUAUUUGUUUUGUGAAAUAAAUGAAAACAAAUGUUGAUUACGGUUUUAGGGAGGCUGGUUUGCCUUUGAAUAAAAAGUUUAGGAGGUAAAGCGUUUUUUUAAAAAAAGAAUUGCAUGUAUUUCCUUCUAAACAUAAGCCUUUAGGAUGUAAAAAUGGUUAAAAGAGCUGUUUAAAAAGGAUAACCCAUAUUACAUGACUUCUAAGCAAAGAUCCUUUAUGAGGUAAAAAUGUUAGUGUUGGCUAAAAGAAUCGCCGUAUUGUUUAAACUAGAAGAUAGGUUUUCGCAAGAUGUCUUCCAUUCGCUUGUUUCACAUCAUAUGAAAAAACUAAACUUAACUCCGUGUAUUUUUUGUAUUAU